UACGGGGGGAGCAAGCGUUGUUCGGAUUUACUGGGCGUAAAGGGCGCGUAGGCGGUCGUGACAAGUCACUUGUGAAAUCUCCGGGCUUAACUCGGAACGGUCAAGUGAUACUGUCGGACUAGAGUACAGAAGGGGCAACUGGAAUUCUCGGUGUAGCGGUGAAAUGCAUAGAUAUCAGGAGGAACACCAGCGGCGAAGGCGGCACUCUGGGCUGGAACUGACGCUGAGGAGCGAAAGCGUGGGGAGCGAACAGG
RNAcentral lists this ribosomal RNA (254 nucleotides) under uncultured bacterium. RNAcentral's name for it is "partial 16S ribosomal RNA". It matches the Rfam family "Bacterial small subunit ribosomal RNA", at positions 524 to 776 of the family's 1533-position model. The record is from RNAcentral.